AGGAGAGUUUGAUCCUGGCUCAGGAUGAACGCUGGCGGCGUGCUUAUUACAUGCAAGUCGAACGAAGCAACCUAUCACGAUCCCUUCGGGGUGACGAUUUGUUGUCUGAGUGGCGGACGGGUGAGUAACGCGUGGGUAACCUACCUUGUACAGGGGGACAACAGUUGGAAACGACUGCUAAUACCGCAUAAGCGCACAGCUUCGCAUGAAGCAGUGUGAAAAGUUUUUUCGGUACAAGAUGGACCCGCGUCUGAUUAGCUAGUUGGUGAGGUAACGGCCCACCAAGGCGACGAUCAGUAGCCGACCUGAGAGGGUGACCGGCCACAUUGGGACUGAGACACGGCCCAAACUCCUACGGGAGGCAGCAGUGGGGAAUAUUGCACAAUGGGCGAAAGCCUGAUGCAGCGACGCCGCGUGAGCGAAGAAGUAUUUCGGUAUGUAAAGCUCUAUCAGCAGGGAAGAUAAUGACGGUACCUGACUAAGAAGCACCGGCUAAAUACGUGCCAGCAGCCGCGGUAAUACGUAUGGUGCAAGCGUUAUCCGGAUUUACUGGGUGUAAAGGGAGCGUAGGCGGUUUUACAAGUCUGAUGUGAAAGCCCGGGGCUCAACUCCGGUAUUGCAUUGGAAACUGUAGAACUAGAGUGUCGGAGGGGUAAGUGGAAUUCCUAGUGUAGCGGUGAAAUGCGUAGAUAUUAGGAGGAACACCAGUGGCGAAGGCGGCUUACUGGACGAUUACUGACGCUGAGGCUCGAAAGCGUGGGGAGCAAACAGGAUUAGAUACCCUGGUAGUCCCCU
RNAcentral lists this ribosomal RNA (795 nucleotides) under uncultured Bacillota bacterium. RNAcentral's name for it is "bacterial SSU rRNA". It matches the Rfam family "Bacterial small subunit ribosomal RNA", at positions 1 to 799 of the family's 1533-position model. The record is from RNAcentral. Lineage: Bacteria; Bacillati; Bacillota.